GGAAGAACUCAAGACUUCACUGAAGCCCUUACAGGAGAAGGAGGAGCAGAAGAGUCAGAUGAUAAAGUAGAAGAUUGAGCUGAUGAGCAGAGAGAUAUCAACACUUUCAGACACAAUCAGAACCAUAGAGGAAGAGCUGGAGCUGAGGACAUCUCAUUCCUGCAGAACUACAAGGAUACAGUGAAAAGAGCCCAGUGUACACUGCCAGAUCCAGAGAGGGUUUCAGGAGCGCUGAUAGACAUGGUAAAUCACCUGGGCAACCUGCAGUUCAGAGUCUGGAAGAAGAUGCAGGGAAUAGUUAAGUACAUUCCAGUGACUCUGGACCCCAACACUGCCCACCCACAUCUCAUCCUGUCUAAUGAUCUGACCAGUGUGAGAUACAGUGAUGAGGAACAGCAGCUUCCUGACAACCCAGAGAGGUUUGAUAGCCAUAGAAUGGUCCUGGGCUAUGA
Long non-coding RNA from Salvelinus sp. IW2-2015, 452 nucleotides. RefSeq lists it as uncharacterized. Lineage: Eukaryota; Metazoa; Chordata; Actinopteri; Salmoniformes; Salmonidae. The record is from RefSeq and is a predicted model, not a curated record.